GGUUUUUAGUUUUUUUUAAAAAUCUAAUCUGCCCAAUGAUUAAAUUUUAAAUGGCCGCGGUAAUUUGACCGUGCUAAGGUAGCAUAAUAAUUAGGCUUUUAAUUGAAGUCUGGUAUGAAUGAUUGGAUGAGAAAUUAACUUUCUUUAGUUAUCUAUUAUAACUUAAUCUUUAAGUGAAAAAGCUUAAAUCUUUUUAAGGGACGAUAAGACCCUAUAGAACUUAAUUAAUUAAAUAACUAGUUUAUUAUCUAGAUUAACAUAAUUUUAUAGUUUUUAUUUUUUUUAUUGGGGUGAUAAUAAUAUUAUUAAAACUUUUAUUAUUUUCAUCAUAAAUUAAUGUAAAUCUUGAUCCUUUUCUAAUGAUUAGAAGUUAAAGUUACCUUAGGGAUAACAGCGUAAUUUAUUUGAAGAGUUCUUAUCAAUAAAUAAGUUUGCGACCUCGAUGUUGGAUUAAGAUAAAAUAAAGGAGUAGAUAUUUUUAUUUUAGGUCUGUUCGACCUUAUUAUUCUUACA
Molecule: ribosomal RNA, 513 nt
Filed under: Eicissus sp. JRC-2010
Lineage: Eukaryota; Metazoa; Arthropoda; Insecta; Hemiptera; Epipygidae
Description: partial 16S ribosomal RNA
Source: RNAcentral